Molecule: long non-coding RNA, 837 nt
Organism: Arachis stenosperma
Lineage: Eukaryota; Viridiplantae; Streptophyta; Magnoliopsida; Fabales; Fabaceae
Exons: 2
Source: RefSeq, a predicted model, not a curated record
AUCACAAUAAGUACUUAAGGUCCUCUCACUCCUUUAUUGCCAUUAUUGACCACAAAAACAAGCACAUACACAAAGUCCUAUAACAUCCAAUUCAUAGCUACUAUCCCAAACCCUCUUACACCACCAUCACCAAAAACAUGUAGCUAGUAACAUCCAAGUCCUCCAUACCCCAUGAUGCUCUUCUCUUCAUGCAAAGGCGAAAAAUAUGAAAUUUUGGUGGGCUUGCGCCAAGCUAAAGAGCUAAGACGAGCCGACAUAUUAGAAGAUAUUGUGGUGGUAAUGGUAAUGGUAAUGAUGGUGGUAAUAUUAAUGGUAGUUGGUAUAAUAGUAUACCAAAUUCCAUAAGUUUAUAUACAUAUAUAAAAUAUGUAUACUUUCAAAUUCCAAAAGAAUAAUAAGUUAAAAGAUCACUGCCGAGUAAGAAUCUCUCCUUAAUUUAUUAAGGAUGAUUUUCUUCUCCUGAAAAGGGCAACUUCAAAUCCUUUGGCAUUUUUCCAUCAAGUCCCUCUCUACCUCCCUUCACUCUCUUUUGUGAAUUCAGGAUUUCAGAGAGAAAAGCAACAUCGAUCCAUCACUAAUUCACUAUAUUAUGUAAUAUGUAUUGUGUGUUCUCUUUUUUUUUUUUAAUGUAGUUCUUGCUUAAUUUGCACUUUAUGUGAUUUCAAUUGCAGGUUAUGUCUACUAUUAUUAUCACUAUGAUCAACUUUAUAGUAUAGUUUUACUGUAUUGGUAGGUAGCAAAUAAUAAUGUAAUCUAUGUUGAAUAGGCUUCUAUAUGGCCAAAGUGUGGUGGCUUUUUUCUUUCAAUUUUUUUUUUAUAAAAUGAUUAAAUAUCUUA